UACAGAGGGUGCGAGCGUUGUCCGGAAUCACUGGGCGUAAAGGGCGCGUAGGUGGCUGCCCAAGUCCAUGGUGAAAGCUCGAUGCUCAACAUCGAGUCGGCCACGGAUACUGGGUUGCUCGAGCACUGUAGGGGCAGAUGGAAUUCCGGGUGUAGCGGUGGAAUGCGUAGAGAUCCGGAAGAACACCGGUGGCGAAGGCGGUCUGCUGGGCAGUUGCUGACACUGAGGCGCGACAGCGUGGGGAGCAAACAGG
This 253-nucleotide ribosomal RNA is filed under the name uncultured bacterium. RNAcentral describes it as "partial 16S ribosomal RNA". It matches the Rfam family "Bacterial small subunit ribosomal RNA", at positions 524 to 776 of the family's 1533-position model. The record is from RNAcentral.